Limulus polyphemus (Atlantic horseshoe crab) is the source of this 710-nucleotide long non-coding RNA. RefSeq lists it as uncharacterized. The record is from RefSeq and is a predicted model, not a curated record. The transcript is spliced from 4 exons. NCBI's taxonomy places the organism in Eukaryota, Metazoa, Arthropoda, Merostomata, Xiphosura, Limulidae.
GUACGUUUUUUAUUUUUCAGCUGACUUUAAUUAUUUCUAUAGCUUUUUAUUUUCAGCGAAAUAUAUGUUCUUUCCUCAGGUGUCAUGGCGACUAGCGGAGAAGAUAUGGGUGUGGAUUUGAGAAACUUGAUCUCAUGUGCCACGUAUACCGUCAAACCUGAUCUGACCUAUCUUGGACAGCCUGUGCAUAAAGGGUGUUCACAUGCAACAAACUAAUUUUCUAUGUGUUGUGGUGGACUUUAAUAGCUUUCUGGAUCUGGAUUAGGACAGACAAACAAGAAAUAUUUCGUCAUCGACUGCCACUGGGGAUGUUUACACAGAACUGAUUCAGCCUCGAGUAAAGCGUGAUUAAAGAAUCCAGGGAAUCAGGAGUCUGUCGCCGCAGGAUACUUGCUAUUUUCCACCUGGGCAGAUGAAUCACCACCAUAACGCUCUCUAUCCACCCCUUACCUUCACAGUGCUGAGGCAAUAUCCGUGGAGCUUACUGUAAAUAGAUUCUAUCGUUUUACAGCUACAUUUGUUUGUUAUGAAAGGACAGACCAAAGCAGUUGACAACAGAGAUCGUUUGUGUGGUGUUAUAGAUGUUUCAGUAGCGAAGAACAGAGAUGGACUAUCCAAAGAAGAAUAAAUCCAGGACUUUGAAUUUUGACUGGACAAGUUUAAUUAGAAGGUAAAGCUUAUUCCAAGAUACUUCAGAAAAAAUAAAACAU